This 304-nucleotide ribosomal RNA is filed under the name uncultured bacterium. Its description in RNAcentral is "bacterial SSU rRNA". It matches the Rfam family "Bacterial small subunit ribosomal RNA", at positions 28 to 334 of the family's 1533-position model. The record is from RNAcentral.
GACGAACGCUGGCGGCGUGCCUAACACAUGCAAGUCGAACGGGGUAAUCCUUCGGGGUUACUUAGUGGCGAACGGGUGAGUAACGCGUGAGAAACCUGCCUUUCAGUGGGGGACAACAGUUGGAAACGACUGCUAAUACCGCAUGAUGUUAUUUGGGGGCAUCCCUGAAUAACCAAAGCUUUAUGUGCUGAAAGAUGGUCUCGCGUCUGAUUAGCUAGAUGGCGGGGUAACGGCCCACCAUGGCGACGAUCAGUAGCCGGUCUGAGAGGAUGAACGGCCACAUUGGGACUGAGAUACGGCCCAG